This is a long non-coding RNA of Humulus lupulus (European hop), 1066 nucleotides long. RefSeq lists it as uncharacterized. The record is from RefSeq and is a predicted model, not a curated record. NCBI's taxonomy places the organism in Eukaryota, Viridiplantae, Streptophyta, Magnoliopsida, Rosales, Cannabaceae. The transcript has 5 exons.
UUCCUUCUCUCUUUCUCUUCCUGGUAUACCCAUUUCCCGUGUCUCAUUUUCCUUCUCUCUUUCUCUUCCUGCUAUACCCAUUUCCCGUGUCUCAUUUUCCUGAGAAUUUUGGUGCAUGUGAUAAUAGAGCGCAGGAGAAUGUAGAUCAAUUGGAUAUCAACAAGCCGGUAGGAGUGAGUUACACUUCUCUAAGGUGGGUGGGCAACGAGUAACGAAAUCAAAUCCCCUGUCAAGAAACAAGUAAAACUCAAGCUUAUCUGGUAAAGACUCAACCUUCUCACCACCUCCUCCUCCUCCUCUCUCGGACUGAACCACUUCCUUUCUUGGACCGACCUCCUACUGGAGCCUUGACUAAGAAAAAAAAAUGGAGCCAGCUUAAAUCUCAAGAUAUAUGUAUGAUGCUGUUAGGUUGAGGAGAACAUUUGCAAGUUUGCAAAGAAGGGUCUUUUUCCAUCUCAGAUCAACUUCGUCAUUUGCUAAGUUCUGGUUAAUAGGUCCAUUAUCUAAAGAGGAUAAGGAGAUUGAGUCUAGCUUAGCAAAAUACCUCAAAGAACAACGCAAAUUACUUGGAGACACAUCAAUGAUAUGUCCUGAGGUGAUGGAGUGGUGCAACUAUUUUAUCUCAGCUUAUUUAAUUUAGCAAAAUUCUUCAAUAAUUGAGUCAGCAAUUGGAGCGAGAGACCAAGAAGCUUCCCUCCAUUUAGAAGUAGUUGGGGAUCGAAUUGGCAAGGAGCAUUGUAAAGUUAAUUUGUAAGAGGUACGAAAUUUUUUCUUUUAACUCUUAUUAUUAAUAUCUUAAAAAUGUUAGAGGAGUUUGAAUAUCUUAAAUAUUCAUCCAUAGAGAAGUAGGUUCUGAGAUUAAAAUUGUGUGCUGCGGUGAUAACGGAAGGUUGAAAACUUGUGUGUAUUAGAGAAGUAGGUUCUGGAAAAUUUGUUUGUGUGCUGCGGUGAUAUAAGGAAGAAAACUUAUUGUGUGUUGUUUGAAUUUUUUGACUUGGUAUUGAUAGAUGGUUAGGUAAGCUUUUAUAUGUAUAGAUUAGAUUUUUCAUUAUAUGUAUAGAUUAAA